This is a long non-coding RNA of Glossina fuscipes, 358 nucleotides long. RefSeq lists it as uncharacterized. NCBI's taxonomy places the organism in Eukaryota, Metazoa, Arthropoda, Insecta, Diptera, Glossinidae. The transcript has 3 exons. The record is from RefSeq and is a predicted model, not a curated record.
AUUAAAAAAAAACAAGAAUUUGAAAAAGUGUUCCCCGAGAUAAGCACUGCAACAACAUCAGCCUGUAUCUCUACGGAGGCAUGGUUUGAAUUAAUUGUCUUGGAUAGACACGAAUGAGCAUGACAAGAGAUCGAGGACGGGUGGUGAUGAUGUUAGUCUAUCUCCCAAAGGAGAAGUUUUAGCCAAAGAUUUGACAGUGCUCAGAAAACAGAAAGAGAGCUACUGCUGCAGGUUGUGAUGGAGUCAAGUAUGACAUGCUCAUAGCACUGUCUGUAGGAAGCUUUAACGUGCUUUUGCAUGCAAUUAACUGCUGGUCCACCAACUUUAUACCCUCUGAUUUGCGUUGCAUCAAAAUAGU